UUCUCUGGAGAAAUCGGUGGACACUUUUACCAUAGAAUUAAAGUUCGUGGAAGGAGAACUUGUCUUCAGUCUCAAUCACAGACACGGAAUAAAGAAGCAGUUCAACUUAACGUUCCAGGAAUGCGAGGGACUUAGUGCUAUCUUCAAUAAAAACUCUUCUGUCAUUCACAUCGUCUCAGACCAAAAGUUUCUAGGAGACUGCGUCGUACAUUUCCCUACUAAUGUGGCGGAGAUAACCCUAAACGCUAAACAUGACCACACGAUGCUCAGUAACUAUGUA
This is a long non-coding RNA of Bolinopsis microptera, 280 nucleotides long. RefSeq lists it as uncharacterized. The transcript has 3 exons. NCBI's taxonomy places the organism in Eukaryota, Metazoa, Ctenophora, Tentaculata, Lobata, Bolinopsidae. The record is from RefSeq and is a predicted model, not a curated record.